ACCUGCCCUCUCGUGGGGAAUAACGCUGCGAAAGCAGCGCUAAUACCGCAUACGCUCCGGGGUCCAAUCCGCGGAGGAAAGCUUGAUGUGCGAGAGGAGGGGCCUGCGGCAGAUUAGCUAGUCGGUGGGGUAAUGGCCUACCGAGGCGACGAUCUGUAGCUGGUCUGAGAGGAUGAUCAGCCACACUGGGACUGAGACACGGCCCAG
Molecule: ribosomal RNA, 207 nt
Filed under: uncultured bacterium
Lineage: Bacteria
Description: partial 16S ribosomal RNA
Rfam family: Bacterial small subunit ribosomal RNA
Source: RNAcentral